UUUUUUACAACUCAAAUAUGUAAUCGUUUUUGCUAUGAAAAUAAAUGAUGUUUCAAAUCGUUUUUGCUAUAAAAGAAGCGUACUCACCUUAGCCGCCGAGAAAGUCACCUUUUGAUCUCCGUUUUCCCUCUCUGGUAGUCGGCGCUCCUCGCUGCUGCCGUGAGAGGGCCAUGUUGUUUCUUGUAUUUAGUUGUUGUUUCUCGUCUGUGGUUUUGUUGGAUAAGCUUCAAAGACUUGGAGCCUAAGAUAUCUUUAUCAAGUUGGAUAAAGACAAGAGAGGUUCAUUAUAAACCUUCUAGAGUUAGGAGUUAUCUAGUUCUAUUAGGAAUAGGAUUAACAAGUUGUGUUAAGACUAUAAAUAUCAUGAUCGGGAUGUGAUCAUUGAUGUGUGCUUUGGGUGUUUAGUUUUGAGAUAUUUUCUAAACAUUAAUAAGAGAGUGAUUCUUAUAACAAAGUGUGCAUUAGUUUCUUUUAGGUUUGGCUUGAUCUGAUUUAGUUCAAUGAAGAAGUUGGUUUUGAUAGGGUAGUUUUUGUUUAUUGGAGAGCGGUGAUUCUCCUUCCUCAACGGUAGUGGUUCAUCUUGUUGGGGAUUAGGAUUUUGUUUGGGCUUGGUUAAAUCUUUGGCUCGUCCCAUCUCUAAUUGAUGCUUUCAAAGCCCUUGGUUUAGACAAUACUGGUUCUAGGUGGGCGUUUAUCUUCUGGUCCCAUUGUCGUACUUGCGCUCGUUUUCUUAGCCGGGUAAGCAGAUCUCUUGGUCUGGCUUCUUCUUGAUCUGCUAGAUUUGGUCUGGUUUUUCUCCGCCUUCUAAGGUUGUUUGGUGUCGUUUUAAUCUGCUAGUUCUAGCCUUCUUAGUUGUCGUGAGACUUGAUUCGAUGGAAGUCUUUCAACUUUUGGGGUUUGAUUAUGGAUCUUAGCUCUACCUCUUAGUUUGAUCCUCUUGCUUGUUCGUUGGUGAGUUGUGGACUGGGUUUGUUCUUGGUGUUUGCCUCUCAGAUGUUUUUUUUGUUGCUUAGCCACCUAUUAGCCUAUCUUCUUUAGAGUUAGGUUUUGGGCGAAACAAUGGAUUCGGUCUUUAGCUUUUCUCUUGCGAGGAGAUCACAAUUUCAAGUGUAUAGGUGGUUAAAACUGGUUCGACGAGUGUCCGCAUGUAAGAGCUGUUGAUCCUCUUUGGCUUAUCUCCAGUCGAUUUCCAAGGUGUCUUGCCUUGUUCCUAGUGUCUUGUCCUCUCCUCGUUUGGCUGGUGAGGUAUGAUGUGUUGUAUUUGUGUCGCUGGUCACGUUUGAUUCUUGCUUUCCUCCCUGUCGGUCUGCUUCUGAUUUGACUUUGGUGUGAGGUCUUCCACUCUUAUUGGAGCUGUCGUCGUUAACAUUUUCUAUAGGGAAGCUUAGUAUGAUUCUAUCUUGCCUUUGCUCAAUCCUAGUGCUUGAAUGCAUUUCCUCCUAGAAUUUUUGUUUCCUCUUUAGAAUUUUGCUUCUUUGUUCACUCUAAUAUGUUUCCUUGUAACUUGAAGUUGUAUUUCCCUCUUUUGGGCCAAUGUCUCCGGGGACAUUUUGUAGUCCGUCGGCUUAUGUAUUUCAACUUGGAUCUAUCUUUGGAUUGUUAUUAAAAUUUCAGAUGACAAAAAAAAAAAAAUCUCCAAUUUCCAAUACGCCAUUUAAAUACCAAAUUUAAAAGUUUAUGAUUCUUUUUGUGGAAUUUAAAAUUGUGGAUGUUAAUACAUAUUUUGAUGAUACUAAAAGAAUCAUAUUCAACAAACAGUUAAGUGUUUGUUCAACAAGACUAUUCCACCCAAAAAAAGAC
This 1800-nucleotide long non-coding RNA is filed under the name Capsella grandiflora. Its description in RNAcentral is "long non-coding RNA (CGRA_LNC001607)". The record is from RNAcentral. Lineage: Eukaryota; Viridiplantae; Streptophyta; Magnoliopsida; Brassicales; Brassicaceae.